UCCGUGUUAACCACGGCAGUCUCCCUAGAGUGCCCAACUUAAUGCUGGCAACUAAGGACGAGGGUUGCGCUCGUUAAGGGACUUAACCCAACAUGUCACCACACGAGCUGACGACAGCCAUGCAGCACCUGUCUUCUAGUCGUAUUGCUACGAAAGCUGCAUUUCUGCAGUUGUCCAGAGAUGUCAAACCCAGGUAAGGUUCUGCGCGUUGCUUCGAAUUAAACCACAUGAUCCACCGCUUGUGCGGGCCCCCGUCAAUUCCUUUGAGUUUUAGUCUUGCGACCGUACUUCCCAGGCGGGGAACUUAUCGCGUUAGCUCCGACUCAGCGGGGGUCAAUACCCACUAAGUCUAGUUCCCAUCGUUUACAGCGUGGACUAC
This 379-nucleotide unclassified non-coding RNA is filed under the name uncultured Oligoflexales bacterium. Its description in RNAcentral is "contains 16S-23S intergenic spacer region". The record is from RNAcentral. Lineage: Bacteria; Pseudomonadati; Bdellovibrionota; Oligoflexia; Oligoflexales.